RNAcentral lists this ribosomal RNA (391 nucleotides) under uncultured bacterium. Its description in RNAcentral is "bacterial SSU rRNA". It matches the Rfam family "Bacterial small subunit ribosomal RNA", at positions 67 to 453 of the family's 1533-position model. The record is from RNAcentral.
CGAGAGAUGAGGAGCUUGCUCUUCAAAUCGAGUGGCGAACGGGUGAGUAACGCGUGAGGAACCUGCCUCAAAGAGGGGGACAACAGUUGGAAACGACUGCUAAUACCGCAUAAGCCCACGGCUCGGCAUCGAGCAGAGGGAAAAGGAGUGAUCCGCUUUGAGAUGGCCUCGCGUCCGAUUAGCUAGUUGGUGAGGUAACGGCCCACCAAGGCGACGAUCGGUAGCCGGACUGAGAGGUUGAACGGCCACAUUGGGACUGAGACACGGCCCAGACUCCUACGGGAGGCAGCAGUGGGGAAUAUUGCACAAUGGGGGAAACCCUGAUGCAGCGACGCCGCGUGGAGGAAGAAGGUCUUCGGAUUGUAAACUCCUGUUGUUGAGGAAGAUAAUG